CUGAAUGUGGCUGGCACAUGAACUCGAUGUGCUGACAGCAAUUUGUACUCCGAUUAAAAUAGGGGGGAAAAAAGGAAAGAGAGUGCACAGCAGUAACAAAAAUGAAAUGCAAGAACCCCUAAACCAUGCAAUUUGUAUUUUAGGAAGCAAAACUGAGAAAGAGGCUCCAUAACUUAAAAAACAAAAAACAAAAAGCUGUAAAUGCUCCAGCCUAAAGACAUUAGCUCUGAUGCAAUUACCUCUGAAAUCUUUCUGAAGAUACUACUGAGAAUAAAAUGGAGCAUUUCUUAUGAACAGCUAAUCUCUGAAAAUAUCACUAAUAUGGAGCAGGUGACGUCUUACCCAUUCCACAUAAACAAUCUUCUAAUACUCACAUGAAAAGACAGAUGGAUUUUCAAGAUGUACUAUUAAGUGAAUGGCUAUGAAUUGACAAAAAGCAGCUAAAGACAAAAACAGUUUCAUAAUUACCAUUUGUCCAAAGUCAAUCUCUGAGCUAAAACACAAUGUUUUUUAUGUUUCUCUACUUAUAACAAAAUUUCGGGAAAAAACUCAGAAAAAAAAUUGGUACACCAAUACUACCACUGUUUUAUGAUCUCUGUGAGAAUUUAACAGUUUAAAAAAGCACAUGGCUGGACACAGUGGCUCAUGCCUGUAAUCCUAACACUCUGGGAGGCCAAGGCAAGAAGACAGCUUGAGCCCAGGAUUUUAAGACCAGCUUGAGCAACAUAGUGAGACUGUGGCUCUACAAAAAAACUUAAAAAUUAGCUGGUCAUGGUGAUGCAUACCUGUAAUCCCAGCUACUGUGGAGGCUGAGGUGGGAGGACUGUUUGUACUUAGGAGGUCAAGGCUGCAGCAUGCUGUGAUUUCACCACUGCAUUUCAACCUGAGCAACAAGUAGGACCCUGUCUCAAAAAAAUAUAUGAAAUACAAAUAACCAAAAUGUCAGUAAUUAAUGAAUCUGGGGAAUGGGUACAUGGAGGUUCAUUAAAGAAUCUGGAGAGGAGGUAUAUGGAACUUCAUUAGACAAUUCUCUACGAUUCUGUGUAUGUAUGCAACUUUCAUAAUAAAAAGUCUAAAAAGGUCUACUUACAGGUAUACUUUUUAAAUCCUAUCUUCAGUUAAGGCUGACCAUUCUAAACAAAAUUCUGGCAGAUACUUUUCAAAGAAUGUUUUCUUCAUUCUCGACUGAUCAAUUAAACACCAUAGUGAAAUGG
This 1214-nucleotide long non-coding RNA is filed under the name Homo sapiens (human). RNAcentral's name for it is "HSALNT0105493". The record is from RNAcentral. Lineage: Eukaryota; Metazoa; Chordata; Mammalia; Primates; Hominidae.